RNAcentral lists this ribosomal RNA (484 nucleotides) under uncultured bacterium. RNAcentral describes it as "partial 16S ribosomal RNA". It matches the Rfam family "Bacterial small subunit ribosomal RNA", at positions 30 to 507 of the family's 1533-position model. The record is from RNAcentral.
AUUGAACGCUGGCGGCAGGCCUAACACAUGCAAGUCGAGCGGAUGAAGGGAGCUUGCUCCUGGAUUCAGCGGCGGACGGGUGAGUAAUGCCUAGGAAUCUGCCUGGUAGUGGGGGAUAACGUCCGGAAACGGGCGCUAAUACCGCAUACGUCCUGAGGGAGAAAGUGGGGGAUCUUCGGACCUCACGCUAUCAGAUGAGCCUAGGUCGGAUUAGCUAGUUGGUGGGGUAAAGGCCUACCAAGGCGACGAUCCGUAACUGGUCUGAGAGGAUGAUCAGUCACACUGGAACUGAGACACGGUCCAGACUCCUACGGGAGGCAGCAGUGGGGAAUAUUGGACAAUGGGCGGAAGCCUGAUCCAGCCAUGCCGCGUGUGUGAAGAAGGUCUUCGGAUUGUAAAGCACUUUAAGUUGGGAGGAAGGGCAGUAAGUUAAUACCUUGCUGUUUUGACGUUACCAACAGAAUAAGCACCGGCUAACCUCGUG